This 222-nucleotide long non-coding RNA is filed under the name Elaeis guineensis (African oil palm). RNAcentral describes it as "long non-coding RNA (EGUI_LNC039725)". The record is from RNAcentral. Lineage: Eukaryota; Viridiplantae; Streptophyta; Magnoliopsida; Arecales; Arecaceae.
CGUAUGACUAACGAUGGGGUUUGACGAGUUCUCCAUAGCCUCCUUCAAGUCGAAACUCACGAUAGAGGAAUUGUAUCACAUGAUAACUGUACCUAGGAGUUUAUUUUUUUUAUUUUGCUGGGUUGCCACUAUAUGUUGCUAGACAUCACUGGUGGAUCAUGAGAACUUACUAAGAUUAUUUUCGGAUCAACGAUCUUUGUUGAGGUGAGUUAGAAUCGUUUC